AUGGAGAGUUUGAUCCUGGCUCAGGACGAACGCUGGCGGCGUGCUUAACACAUGCAAGUCGAACGGAAAGGCCCUGCUUUUGUGGGGUGCUCGAGUGGCGAACGGGUGAGUAACACGUGAGUAACCUGCCCUUGACUUUGGGAUAACUUCAGGAAACUGGGGCUAAUACCGGAUAGGAGCUCCUGCUGCAUGGUGGGGGUUGGAAAGUUUCGGCGGUUGGGGAUGGACUCGCGGCUUAUCAGCUUGUUGGUGGGGUAGUGGCUUACCAAGGCUUUGACGGGUAGCCGGCCUGAGAGGGUGACCGGCCACAUUGGGACUGAGAUACGGCCCAGACUCCUACGGGAGGCAGCAGUGGGGAAUAUUGCGCAAUGGGGGAAACCCUGACGCAGCAACGCCGCGUGAGUGAGGAAGGCUUUAGGGUCGUAAAGCUCUGUCAGAAGGGAAGAAACUACAGUGGUCUAAUAGGCCAUUGUACUGACGGUACCUUCAAAGGAAGCACCGGCUAACUUCGUGCCAGCAGCCGCGGUAAUACGAAGGGGGCUAGCG
Molecule: ribosomal RNA, 546 nt
Filed under: Oxyrrhis marina
Lineage: Eukaryota; Dinophyceae; Oxyrrhinales; Oxyrrhinaceae
Description: partial Bacterial small subunit ribosomal RNA
Rfam family: Bacterial small subunit ribosomal RNA
Source: RNAcentral